RNAcentral lists this ribosomal RNA (496 nucleotides) under uncultured bacterium. Its description in RNAcentral is "partial 16S ribosomal RNA". It matches the Rfam family "Bacterial small subunit ribosomal RNA", at positions 28 to 506 of the family's 1533-position model. The record is from RNAcentral.
GAUGAACGCUGGCGGCGUGCCUAAUACAUGCAAGUCGAGCGAACAGAUGAGGAGCUUGCUCCUCUGACGUUAGCGGCGGACGGGUGAGUAACACGUGGAUAACCUACCUAUAAGACUGGGAUAACUUCGGGAAACCGGAGCUAAUACCGGAUAAUAUAUUGAACCGCAUGGUUCAAUAGUGAAAGACGGUUUUGCUGUCACUUAUAGAUGGAUCCGCGCGGCAUUAGCUAGUUGGUAAGGUAACGGCUUACCAAGGCAACGAUGCGUAGCCGACCUGAGAGGGUGAUCGCCCACACUGGAACGGAGACACGGUCCAGACUCCUAGGGAAGGCAGCAGUAGGGAAUCUUCCGCAAUGGGCGAAAGCCUGACGGAGCAACGCCGCGUGAGUGAUGAAGGUCUUCGGAUCGUAAAACUCUGUUAUUAGGGAAAAACAAAUGUGUAAGUAACGAUGCACGUCUUGACGGUACCUAAUCAGAAAGCCACGGCAAACUACGU